RNAcentral lists this ribosomal RNA (479 nucleotides) under uncultured bacterium. RNAcentral describes it as "partial 16S ribosomal RNA". It matches the Rfam family "Bacterial small subunit ribosomal RNA", at positions 28 to 507 of the family's 1533-position model. The record is from RNAcentral.
GACGAACGCUGGCGGCGUGCUUAACACAUGCAAGUCGAACGAAGCUUGAUUACGGAUUCUUCGGAUGAAGUAUGAUAUGACUGAGUGGCGGACGGGUGAGUAACGCGUGAGUAACCUGCCCUUCAGAGGGGGAUAGCGUUUGGAAACGAACGGUAAUACCGCAUAAUGUAUUUUGACAGCAUGAUCGAAAUACCAAAGAUUUAUCGCUGAAGGAUGGACUCGCGUCUGAUUAGGUAGUUGGUGGGGUAACGGCCUACCAAGCCGACGAUCAGUAGCCGGACUGAGAGGUUGAUCGGCCACAUUGGGACUGAGACACGGCCCAGACUCCUACGGGAGGCAGCAGUGGGGAAUAUUGCACAAUGGGCGCAAGCCUGAUGCAGCAACGCCGCGUGAAGGAAGACGGUUUUCGGAUUGGAAACUUCUGUUCUUAGUGAAGAAUAAUGACGGUAGCUAAGGAGCAAGCCACGGCUAACUACGUG